AUUGAACGCUGGCGGCAGGCCUAACACAUGCAAGUCGAGCGAGCGUCGGACGGGUGGGUAAUGUAUGGGGACUCCCCGAUAGAGGGGGAUAACUCCUGGAGACGCUAUCUCAUACAGCAUACUCUCUGAGAACCCCUAUGGGAUUAGCUCGUAGGUGAGGUACUGGCUCACCUCGGCGACGAGCCCUAGCUGGUCUGAGAGGAUGAUCAGCCACACUGGGACUGAGACACGGCCCAGACUCCUACGGAGGCAGCAGUGGGGAAUAUUGCACAAUGGGCGCAAGCCUGAUGCAGCCAUGCCGCGUGUAUGAAGAAGGCCCUAGGGUUGUAAAGUACUUUCAGUCGGGAGGCGUUACCGACAGAAGAAGCACCGGCUAACUCCGUGCCAGCAGCCGCGGUAAUAC
This 403-nucleotide ribosomal RNA is filed under the name uncultured bacterium. Its description in RNAcentral is "partial 16S ribosomal RNA". It matches the Rfam family "Bacterial small subunit ribosomal RNA", at positions 30 to 526 of the family's 1533-position model. The record is from RNAcentral.